This is a non-coding RNA of Puccinia sorghi, 84 nucleotides long. NCBI's taxonomy places the organism in Eukaryota, Fungi, Basidiomycota, Pucciniomycetes, Pucciniales, Pucciniaceae. The record is from the annotation of a GenBank genome assembly.
GAUGAAAUAGUUUUCAUUGGCUGGCAGGAACCCAAUGCAAUUGAUUUCAUAGGUUCUUGCUCAACCAAUGAAAUUCAAUUCAUU